This 1117-nucleotide small RNA is filed under the name Pongo abelii (Sumatran orangutan). RNAcentral describes it as "retained intron". Lineage: Eukaryota; Metazoa; Chordata; Mammalia; Primates; Hominidae. The record is from RNAcentral.
AUCGGUCCGUCCUGCUUCCAGCUGCUGCAGCGCGCCUUCGCCGCCAAAGCAUCCAGCAGCCCCUGCUCCGGCCCAGCAUGGCGACCCCGACCCAGACCCCCACAAAGGCUCCUGAGGAACCUGACCCAUUUUACUAUGGUGAGUAUUGGAUUUGGGGAUAGGGCUGGACUGGGGAGUAGCUGCAGGUGCUCACAGAUCCCUCCAGACAUGGCUUCAGCUAUGGUCACACGAUACGUGCUGGGCCACUGGCCAUGGGACCAUAUAUAUGGGUGUGGCUCACAUCAGCUGGGUUCAUGGAGGGCAGAACCAGAUGGGGGAGUGGGGAUGCCUCACACUCUCUCUGAGCCCCCUUCAGGUCUCACCAGGAUCUGGGCUGGUGCCUUGGUGUCGUCAGAGAAGCAGAUGAAGGAAAACCUUAGAAGCAAUGACUCUGAGCCCAGACUGCCUGGAUUUGAAUCCUGCCUUAUCCACUCACUAGCUGUAUGGCCUUGGGCAAGCGACUUUGCCUCUCUGGGCCCUUCUGUAAACAAGGGAUAGUAAUAGUUCCCACCUACGAGGACUGUGGGAAAGAUACCUGGCUGGUGCCAUUAAAUCUCCUCCAUGGCACUGAAGCUCAAAUAAGUUACCCCAGGCCUGGUAGAUCUGGCUCCAAUUUCCCCCUCUGAACACCCUCCUGUUGCCCCCACCCCACCCCUUUGCUCAUUCAUACUUUUCCCCUAGGUGUCAAUUCCUCUCCCAUCUCAGGACCUUUGCAUGUGCCAUGAUUCUGCAGGAAUGCUUCUCCUCUAGCUUUGUACAUGGCUGGCUAAGGCUCCCCCUUAUUCAGGCCUCAGAUCAAACAUAGACUACUCUGCUAGGAUAGGCCCUCCUGACUCCCUGGCAAAGAAGAGCCACACCAUACCCAGCUGGGGUUGCAUGACUUGUUUUUGGGCGGGGUUGUUUCUUUAAUGCUUUAUCACAAUACGAGAGUCAACUCCUUGAGGGUAGAAGCCUGGACCACUACUGGUACAGAGUGAGUGCUCCAUAAAUUCAUAUCUCAAAAAAUACUUAGCGGGCACAGGCUCUAUGUCUGGCAAUGCUCCAAGCAGCUGGAGACACUGCAGUGAACCACACAGAC